This is a long non-coding RNA of Talpa occidentalis (Iberian mole), 775 nucleotides long. RefSeq lists it as uncharacterized. Lineage: Eukaryota; Metazoa; Chordata; Mammalia; Eulipotyphla; Talpidae. The record is from RefSeq and is a predicted model, not a curated record. The transcript is spliced from 3 exons.
GGAGGGGAGGGGAGAAGGGAAGAGCAGGAGAGGAGAGAAGAGGAGGGGAAGAAAAGGGGGAAGGAAGAGCAAGGAGAGGGAUGAAAGGCUGAAAUAACAAAUGCAGCGGGACUGUGCGGAGAGCACACGCUCCAUCAACACUGACUAUUCGAAACGUGACCGUUUUCCAUCUGUUAUGAAUUGAAGGUAUUUUUAAAGAACAGCUCACGCGCUCUCUCUGCACACAGCCAUUUCCUCCUGGAGGACACACACAAAGCUGGCUCGGUGGCUGGUGCAGGUGGACACUGGUGGCUGUGCUCUGACCUCAGCCUAAAAGAAGCCUGCCAGUCUGAAAGUCUUCCUGCCUGGGAAGCUCACUGGCACCAAGGCCGGCAGAGACCAUCUGCCCAAGAUUCUUGUGAACACCAGUCUGAUAUUGAAACAUAGACCUCCUUGGAAGCCUAGAAGCAGAAGGCAGCAGAAGGCCUACUUGGGUGUGGAAGAUCUUGGGUGGCACUUAAUCUCCAACAAAGAUGCCUCUUCCCUGGCCGGGGGCCCCAGCACAUCUUUGAUAGAGCUGUCCUCACCUGACCACAGCCUGGACAGACCCUCCCGUACCACCUUAGUAACAACAAAAUCCUCUCUGUCACCUUUCUGGUCCAGAACCCUCACCAGAGCAUAGGUUAUUCACCUUAUGACUGUUAAAAGAAUAUUCCAGAAAAAAAAGUGCAUUUCAAUAAAAGAUUUUGAGCCCUGCCAGACCAGGAAGCACCUAAAGCAACACCACGUUUCCUGA